Molecule: ribosomal RNA, 458 nt
Filed under: uncultured Rhodococcus sp.
Lineage: Bacteria; Bacillati; Actinomycetota; Actinomycetes; Mycobacteriales; Nocardiaceae
Description: bacterial SSU rRNA
Rfam family: Bacterial small subunit ribosomal RNA
Source: RNAcentral
GCGCAUGCUUAACACAUGCAAGUCGAGCGGUAAGGCCUUUCGGGGUACACGAGCGGCGAACGGGUGAGUAACACGUGGGUGAUCUGCCCUGCACUCUGGGAUAAGCUUGGGAAACUGGGUCUAAUACCGGAUAUGACCACAGCAUGCAUGUGUUGUGGUGGAAAGAUUUAUCGGUGCAGGAUGGGCCCGCGGCCUAUCAGCUUGUUGGUGGGGUAAUGGGCCUACCAAGGCGACGACGGGUAGCCGACCUGAGAGGGUGACCGGCCACACUGGGACUGAGACACGGCCCAGACUCCUACGGGAGGCAGCAGUGGGGAAUAUUGCACAAUGGGCGGAAGCCUGAUGCAGCGACGCCGCGUGAGGGAUGAAGGCCUUCGGGUUGUAAACCUCUUUCAGCAGGGACGAAGCGUGAGUGACGGUACCUGCAGAAGAAGCACCGGCUAACUACGUGCCAGCAG